CCAGAGGGCGGGGCGAUCGCUCGGCGGCCACGGCCGCCGGGAGGAAAGUCCGGGCUCCACAGGACAGGAUGGUCGAUAACGUCGACCGGCCGCGAGGCUAGGGCUAGUGCAACAGAGAGCAGACCGCCGAACGGUUCGCGCCUCGGCGCGGACGCGUGGUAAGGGUGAAACGGUGCGGUAAGAGCGCACCAGCGGUCAAGGUGACUUGAUCGGCUCGGUAAACCCCAUCCGGAGCUAGACCAAACAGGGUGCAGAAGCGGUCCGCUUCGUGACGACACCCGGGUAGGUCGCGAUUGAGGCGACGAGCAAUCGUCGUGCACAGAUAAAUGAUCGCCGUCGCGCGGGCCCGGCUCGCGCGUCACAGAACCCGGCUUACAAGCCCUCUGGUGAA
RNAcentral lists this RNase P RNA (391 nucleotides) under Roseiconus nitratireducens. RNAcentral describes it as "Bacterial RNase P class A". It matches the Rfam family "Bacterial RNase P class A". From Rfam's summary of the family: Ribonuclease P (RNase P) is a ubiquitous endoribonuclease, found in archaea, bacteria and eukarya as well as chloroplasts and mitochondria. Lineage: Bacteria; Pseudomonadati; Planctomycetota; Planctomycetia; Pirellulales; Pirellulaceae. The record is from Rfam by way of RNAcentral.